Molecule: long non-coding RNA, 665 nt
Organism: Polypterus senegalus (gray bichir)
Lineage: Eukaryota; Metazoa; Chordata; Cladistia; Polypteriformes; Polypteridae
Exons: 3
Source: RefSeq, a predicted model, not a curated record
CGGGGGCGUACAUACAGAGCUCUGAACGCACGUCUUUGGAUUACAGGUGUAGACGGCUCACUUCAGUCACAUCUGUGCAGCAGACGUUCUCUGAAGGUUGGGUACCACAUCACUGGUAAGGCUUGGAUUUCUAGAAAUGUUCUCUUAGUGUCUUAAUGGAGAUGCGCUGAGUACAGAAUUGCUGAAGAUAAACCCAGACAGUCAGAAUCAUCAGUUUCAACGCCAUCAAAGCUCUUUGCACUAUUUCUUUAAGGAAACUUAGUCUUCACUUGAACUCCUCCAGAACAUCACUCUUCCAGGUCUAAGUUCAAAUGGAUGCCACGUAUAUAUUAUUUGGGGUUCUCUGUAUUUCAUGUGCCUACUCAAGAAAAAUUUCCAUAGGAUUCAAAGCCACGUUACCAUGUGACCUACAGGAUGUCACUAUCGUCACCUGGUACCAACAGCGUCCUGGGGAGCAGCCUGUGACAAUACUGAGCCACAACAUUAAAUCAGUUCUUCCGCCAACUUACUAUAACGGAUUCAGCAGUGAACAAAUGAGCGUCAGCAACACAUCUCUGUUACUAGUCAUUGAAAACUCGGCUGAAGUUGAUUGUGUGGCUUAUUACUGUACAAAAAAAGAGAAUCAGGUGUUUGAGUUUGGAGCGCCAACCACUCCGGUAUGCCAA